UUAAGCGACUAAGCGUACACGGUGGAUGCCCUGGCAGUCAGAGGCGAUGAAGGACGUGCUAAUCUGCGAUAAGCGUCGGUAAGGUGAUAUGAACCGUUAUAACCGGCGAUUUCCGAAUGGGGAAACCCAGUGUGUUUCGACACACUAUCAUUAACUGAAUCCAUAGGUUAAUGAGGCGAACCGGGGGAACUGAAACAUCUAAGUACCCCGAGGAAAAGAAAUCAACCGAGAUUCCCCCAGUAGCGGCGAGCGAACGGGGAGCAGCCCAGAGCCUGAAUCAGUGUGUGUGUUAGUGGAAGCGUCUGGAAAGGCGCGCGAUACAGGGUGACAGCCCCGUACACAAAAAUGCACAUGCUGUGAGCUCGAUGAGUAGGGCGGGACACGUGGUAUCCUGUCUGAAUAUGGGGGGACCAUCCUCCAAGGCUAAAUACUCCUGACUGACCGAUAGUGAACCAGUACCGUGAGGGAAAGGCGAAAAGAACCCCGGCGAGGGGAGUGAAAAAGAACCUGAAACCGUGUACGUACAAGCAGUGGGAGCACGCUUAGGCGUGUGACUGCGUACCUUUUGUAUAAUGGGUCAGCGACUUAUAUUCUGUAGCAAGGUUAACCGAAUAGGGGAGCCGAAGGGAAACCGAGUCUUAACUGGGCGUUAAGUUGCAGGGUAUAGACCCGAAACCCGGUGAUCUAGCCAUGGGCAGGUUGAAGGUUGGGUAACACUAACUGGAGGACCGAACCGACUAAUGUUGAAAAAUUAGCGGAUGACUUGUGGCUGGGGGUGAAAGGCCAAUCAAACCGGGAGAUAGCUGGUUCUCCCCGAAAGCUAUUUAGGUAGCGCCUCGUGAAUUCAUCUCCGGGGGUAGAGCACUGUUUCGGCAAGGGGGUCAUCCCGACUUACCAACCCGAUGCAAACUGCGAAUACCGGAGAAUGUUAUCACGGGAGACACACGGCGGGUGCUAACGUCCGUCGUGAAGAGGGAAACAACCCAGACCGCCAGCUAAGGUCCCAAAGUCAUGGUUAAGUGGGAAACGAUGUGGGAAGGCCCAGACAGCCAGGAUGUUGGCUUAGAAGCAGCCAUCAUUUAAAGAAAGCGUAAUAGCUCACUGGUCGAGUCGGCCUGCGCGGAAGAUGUAACGGGGCUAAACCAUGCACCGAAGCUGCGGCAGCGACGCUGAUGCGUUGUUGGGUAGGGGAGCGUUCUGUAAGCCUGUGAAGGUGUGCUGUGAGGCAUGCUGGAGGUAUCAGAAGUGCGAAUGCUGACAUAAGUAACGAUAAAGCGGGUGAAAAGCCCGCUCGCCGGAAGACCAAGGGUUCCUGUCCAACGUUAAUCGGGGCAGGGUGAGUCGACCCCUAAGGCGAGGCCGAAAGGCGUAGUCGAUGGGAAACAGGUUAAUAUUCCUGUACUUGGUGUUACUGCGAAGGGGGGACGGAGAAGGCUAUGUUGGCCGGGCGACGGUUGUCCCGGUUUAAGCGUGUAGGCUGGUUUUCCAGGCAAAUCCGGAAAAUCAAGGCUGAGGCGUGAUGACGAGGCACUACGGUGCUGAAGCAACAAAUGCCCUGCUUCCAGGAAAAGCCUCUAAGCAUCAGGUAACAUCAAAUCGUACCCCAAACCGACACAGGUGGUCAGGUAGAGAAUACCAAGGCGCUUGAGAGAACUCGGGUGAAGGAACUAGGCAAAAUGGUGCCGUAACUUCGGGAGAAGGCACGCUGAUAUGUAGGUGAAGUCCCUCGCGGAUGGAGCUGAAAUCAGUCGAAGAUACCAGCUGGCUGCAACUGUUUAUUAAAAACACAGCACUGUGCAAACACGAAAGUGGACGUAUACGGUGUGACGCCUGCCCGGUGCCGGAAGGUUAAUUGAUGGGGUUAGCGCAAGCGAAGCUCUUGAUCGAAGCCCCGGUAAACGGCGGCCGUAACUAUAACGGUCCUAAGGUAGCGAAAUUCCUUGUCGGGUAAGUUCCGACCUGCACGAAUGGCGUAAUGAUGGCCAGGCUGUCUCCACCCGAGACUCAGUGAAAUUGAACUCGCUGUGAAGAUGCAGUGUACCCGCGGCAAGACGGAAAGACCCCGUGAACCUUUACUAUAGCUUGACACUGAACAUUGAGCCUUGAUGUGUAGGAUAGGUGGGAGGCUUAGAAGUGUGGACGCCAGUCUGCAUGGAGCCGACCUUGAAAUACCACCCUUUAAUGUUUGAUGUUCUAACGUUGACCCGUAAUCCGGGUUGCGGACAGUGUCUGGUGGGUAGUUUGACUGGGGCGGUCUCCUCCUAAAGAGUAACGGAGGAGCACGAAGGUUGGCUAAUCCUGGUCGGACAUCAGGAGGUUAGUGCAAUGGCAUAAGCCAGCUUGACUGCGAGCGUGACGGCGCGAGCAGGUGCGAAAGCAGGUCAUAGUGAUCCGGUGGUUCUGAAUGGAAGGGCCAUCGCUCAACGGAUAAAAGGUACUCCGGGGAUAACAGGCUGAUACCGCCCAAGAGUUCAUAUCGACGGCGGUGUUUGGCACCUCGAUGUCGGCUCAUCACAUCCUGGGGCUGAAGUAGGUCCCAAGGGUAUGGCUGUUCGCCAUUUAAAGUGGUACGCGAGCUGGGUUUAGAACGUCGUGAGACAGUUCGGUCCCUAUCUGCCGUGGGCGCUGGAGAACUGAGGGGGGCUGCUCCUAGUACGAGAGGACCGGAGUGGACGCAUCACUGGUGUUCGGGUUGUCAUGCCAAUGGCACUGCCCGGUAGCUAAAUGCGGAAGAGAUAAGUGCUGAAAGCAUCUAAGCACGAAACUUGCCCCGAGAUGAGUUCUCCCUGACCCUUUAAGGGUCCUGAAGGAACGUUGAAGACGACGACGUUGAUAGGCCGGGUGUGUAAGCGCAGCGAUGCGUUGAGCUAACCGGUACUAAUGAACCGUGAGGCUUAACCUU
RNAcentral lists this ribosomal RNA (2902 nucleotides) under Escherichia coli. RNAcentral describes it as "bacterial LSU rRNA". It matches the Rfam family "Bacterial large subunit ribosomal RNA". The record is from RNAcentral. Lineage: Bacteria; Pseudomonadati; Pseudomonadota; Gammaproteobacteria; Enterobacterales; Enterobacteriaceae.